GCCAACAGCUCAAACCAUCCUUUAUACAACAACUCCUGUUCCACCCAGUUUUGAAACGAGCGAAUUGAACCAACCCAAAGUCUCCAAUUUUCCAGGCGCAUAUUUAACUAUCGCCAUCACUCGAUAUCCAUAUCAAUAUCAAUAUCAGCCACGAAAAGCAGGCGUCUUCCCAUAUACCUAGUUUUCUAUCCCACCGGCAAGGAAGGAAGAAAAUACCUUUGAAGAUUAUGUGGACUGCGCUGCGCAGGAUUUGAUUUUAUCCGGGGUUGCAUGAGAUUUAUCUUUGCAUCUAGGCGGCUCUUGGAUCUUGAGACCAACAAUCAAAGCGAAAAUGAAUCUCCAGACCCGUUAACCCAGUACUCACAUGGAUUUAACAUGUUCCAAGCUACGGAGUACACAACAAUUUUUCGUAGCGAUACCCCGA
RNAcentral lists this small RNA (424 nucleotides) under Histoplasma ohiense. RNAcentral describes it as "hypothetical lncRNA". Lineage: Eukaryota; Fungi; Ascomycota; Eurotiomycetes; Onygenales; Ajellomycetaceae. The record is from RNAcentral.